RNAcentral lists this long non-coding RNA (274 nucleotides) under Nicotiana benthamiana. RNAcentral's name for it is "long non-coding RNA (NBEN_LNC009905)". The record is from RNAcentral. Lineage: Eukaryota; Viridiplantae; Streptophyta; Magnoliopsida; Solanales; Solanaceae.
UCCAAAUAGUCCUAGGGUUCCUCUGAAGAUGUACCGCCAUAGGUAGUGGUGAAAAGCUUGGUGAACCUUUCCAAUCUCCACAAGGCAUCAGAAGACAUAGCUGGUCCAUUACUUGUUUGUGCUACAACUCCCGACGGAACUACCCUAAUUGACUGAGUUACUGGAGUCUGAUACUGGAGAGCCAUCUCAUCCAAAGUGCGAGUAGCAAGAGUUUGUACUUCUUCCCCAACCCGAGAGACGGCUGGUGCCACAGGAAGUAUGCCGACCUAAGUAA